CCUACGGGAGGCAGCAGUGGGGAAUAUUGGACAAUGGGCGAAAGCCUGAUCCAGCAAUGCCGCGUGUGCGAUGAAGGCCUUAGGGUUGUAAAGCACUUUCAGUAGUGAGGAAAAGCACGAUAUUAAUACCAUCAGUGCCUUGACGUUAGCUACAGAAGAAGCACCGGCUAACUCUGUGCCAGCAGCCGCGGUAAUACAGAGGGUGCAAGCGUUAAUCGGAAUUACUGGGCGUAAAGCGCGUGUAGGUGGAAAUUUAAGUCAGAUGUGAAAGCCUUAGGCUUAACCUAAGAACGGCAUUUGAUACUGAAUAUCUAGAGUAUGGUAGAGGAAAGUAGAAUUUCCGGUGUAGCGGUGGAAUGCGUAGAUAUCGGAAGGAAUACCAGUGGCGAAGGCGGCUUUCUGGACCAAUACUGACGCUGAGACGCGAAAGCGUGGGGAGC
RNAcentral lists this ribosomal RNA (440 nucleotides) under uncultured bacterium. RNAcentral describes it as "bacterial SSU rRNA". It matches the Rfam family "Bacterial small subunit ribosomal RNA", at positions 338 to 769 of the family's 1533-position model. The record is from RNAcentral.